RNAcentral lists this ribosomal RNA (581 nucleotides) under Citrobacter sp. RNAcentral describes it as "bacterial SSU rRNA". It matches the Rfam family "Bacterial small subunit ribosomal RNA", at positions 75 to 653 of the family's 1533-position model. The record is from RNAcentral. Lineage: Bacteria; Pseudomonadati; Pseudomonadota; Gammaproteobacteria; Enterobacterales; Enterobacteriaceae.
CUUGCUCCUUGGGUGACGAGUGGCGGACGGGUGAGUAAUGUCUGGGAAACUGCCCGAUGGAGGGGGAUAACUACUGGAAACGGUAGCUAAUACCGCAUAACGUCGCAAGACCAAAGAGGGGGACCUUCGGGCCUCUUGCCAUCGGAUGUGCCCAGAUGGGAUUAGCUAGUAGGUGGGGUAACGGCUCACCUAGGCGACGAUCCCUAGCUGGUCUGAGAGGAUGACCAGCCACACUGGAACUGAGACACGGUCCAGACUCCUACGGGAGGCAGCAGUGGGGAAUAUUGCACAAUGGGCGCAAGCCUGAUGCAGCCAUGCCGCGUGUAUGAAGAAGGCCUUCGGGUUGUAAAGUACUUUCAGCGAGGAGGAAGGUGUUGAGGUUAAUAACCUCAGCGAUUGACGUUACUCGCAGAAGAAGCACCGGCUAACUCCGUGCCAGCAGCCGCGGUAAUACGGAGGGUGCAAGCGUUAAUCGGAAUUACUGGGCGUAAAGCGCACGCAGGCGGUCUGUCAAGUCGGAUGUGAAAUCCCCGGGCUCAACCUGGGAACUGCAUCCGAAACUGGCAGGCUAGAGUCUUGUA